AAGUCGUAACAAGGUUUCCGUAGGUGAACCUGCGGAAGGAUCAUUAACACUAUUUUUUAUUUUAUUGAAAAUUUUCAAAACUUUUCAAUAAUUUAAACUUCUACCCACAUUUUUGGAUGAAUUAUAUCUUUUAUUAAUUUUUAUAAAUUUUUAUAACCCCAACAACUAAUUUUUAUUUCUAACAUUUAAAGUUUAAGAAAAACAUAAAAAACAACUCUUAACAACGGAUAUCUAGGCUCUC
Molecule: unclassified non-coding RNA, 241 nt
Filed under: fungal sp.
Lineage: Eukaryota; Fungi
Description: partial internal transcribed spacer region
Rfam family: Eukaryotic small subunit ribosomal RNA (bases 1-46)
Source: RNAcentral